Molecule: ribosomal RNA, 434 nt
Filed under: uncultured Lachnospiraceae bacterium
Lineage: Bacteria; Bacillati; Bacillota; Clostridia; Lachnospirales; Lachnospiraceae
Description: partial 16S ribosomal RNA
Rfam family: Bacterial small subunit ribosomal RNA
Source: RNAcentral
ACGGAAGGCAGCAGUGGGGAAUAUUGCACAAUGGGGGAAACCCUGAUGCAGCGACGCCGCGUGAGUGAAGAAGUUAUUCGUAAUGUAAAGCUCUAUCAGCAGGGAAGAAAAUGACGGUACCUGACUAAGAAGCCCCGGCUAACUACGUGCCAGCAGCCGCGGUAAUACGUAGGGGGCAAGCGUUAUCCGGAUUUACUGGGUGUAAAAGGAGCGUAGACGGUCUGGCAAGUCUGAUGUGAAAGGCAGGGGCUCAACUCCUGGACUGCAUUGGAAACUGUCAGUCUUGAGUGUCGGAGAGGUAAGCGGAAUUCCUAGUGUAGCGGUGAAAUGCGUAGAUAUUAGGAGGAACACCAGUGGCGAAGGCGGCUUACUGGACGAUAACUGACGUUGAGGCUCGAAAGCGUGGGGAGCAAACAGGAUUAGAUACCCUGGUA